GAAGACUUGUUUCAGAAAAGAAAUCAGAAAAAUGAGGCCCAGAAAGAAGGGGACUGACCACUGAUCUCACAGCAGUGACGAUCGCAGUGCCCGGCAUCCACGUGAAACCCGGUGCCAGGGUUUCCGUCUUGCUACGGCAAGAGGCUGGAAGCUUAGUGGUCAAGGGUGAAAAUUUGGAAGUCAGACUCCCUGGCAAAUAUCUCAACAGCUCUGUGCCUCAGCUUCCACGUCUUCAGAAAGGAGAAGGUGGCUGUAAGCUCACGGGGCCGCUCUGAGGAUCACAGAAGCCAACCCAGGGUGCCAUCUGUAACCAAGGGCACACUUGCACGUUACACUGAGUCGGCAGCAGGACACCAGCCAGCCAGGCCUGGUCUCCACAGACUGAGAAGUUAAGUUAGAAGAUUUCCCGGGAGGAGAAAGUCUUCUAAUGUACAUAUUUUUGAAGUGGAUUACGCAAUUCUCUGUGCCUAUGAAAUUACAAUGGAAAACUUUGGGCUGAAGCGCUCUACCUAAAUUAUUUAAUCCUCACAAUAACUACCAGGUAGGUAUUAUCCCCACUUUAUAGAUGAGAAAUCAGAGGCAAGCUCACAUAGCUGUCAGACUCCAAGCCUUCCUCCUUGUGCCUCCUUCACUGAAAUUUAAUUGGAUUAAUUAAAUGAAUCAAACCAAACGAAACACAUCAGUACUUGGCACAAGGUAAGUGCACAACAAACAGCUGUUCUUAUCACUCUUAUUACAAAUAAGAAACUGAAAACUUCUGUUUCCUUAAUAAAUUCUACAAGAACCUUAGGCAGCAGACCUUGAUGAAUUCUUUUAGAAAUGUGUUAGGGUUUGCUUUUCUCUGGUUAUAGAACCAUCUCCAAAUGGUGUUGGGAAUGGAGGUCCCCAACAAGAUGCGCCAAGACACACUUUACAAUGUCCUCUCAUGUAGAGAUUUGCUCCCACACUUUUUUGGUUCCUUCCUUUUCCCUGUUAGAAUGUUAUCAAAAGCAAGCUGUUCAGCUCUCAGCUGGGUGCUUUGAAGUCCAGGAGUCUAGAAUGGAAUGGAAUGUGGGUUGUUGUUUUUACUUUUGUUUUCAUGACAUGGAUAA
Molecule: non-coding RNA, 1091 nt
Organism: Marmota flaviventris (yellow-bellied marmot)
Lineage: Eukaryota; Metazoa; Chordata; Mammalia; Rodentia; Sciuridae
Source: RefSeq, a predicted model, not a curated record